Molecule: small RNA, 214 nt
Filed under: Mycolicibacterium chubuense
Lineage: Bacteria; Bacillati; Actinomycetota; Actinomycetes; Mycobacteriales; Mycobacteriaceae
Description: Mycobacterium chubuense c-di-AMP sequence
Rfam family: c-di-AMP riboswitch aptamer (ydaO/yuaA leader) (bases 37-214)
About the family: This family represents a conserved RNA structure found upstream of the ydaO and yuaA genes in Bacillus subtilis and related genes in other bacteria. The ydaO/yuaA element is thought to act as a genetic "off" switch for the ydaO and yuaA genes in its native state. It is believed that the element may be triggered during osmotic shock leading to activation of ydaO, a predicted amino acid transporter gene, and members of the yuaA-yubG operon which code for KtrA and KtrB K+ transporters.
Source: RNAcentral
UCACCAGCCGCGCCGAACUCCAUCCGCUGGUACGCGGGGACAACGAGACCCAACUUGGAUGGAGGCGGGGGACCCACUGGUCCACCGAAAAGAAGGACCGGGAACCGAUUCGGUUCCUUGGGGUGAAGCCGUCGCCGUUUCGACGACGCCGGCCGGGCGACCUCUCCAGCCCGAACCCGACAGCUGACCUCGCGGGCGCUUCAAGAGAGGACCA